GACGAACGCUGGCGGCGUGCCUAAUACAUGCAAGUCGAACGAAGCUGUUUUAACUGGUGCUUGCACCGACUUAAACAACUGAGUGGCGAACGGGUGAGUAACACGUGGGUAACCUGCCCCAAAGCGGGGGAUAACAUUUGGAAACAGAUGCUAAUACCGCAUAACCACAGAAACCACAUGGUUUCUGUGUCAAAGAUGGUUUCGGCUAUCACUUUGGGAUGGACCCGCGGCGUAUUAGCUAGUUGGUAAGGUAAUGGCUUACCAAGGCAAUGAGGCGUAGCCGAACUGAGAGGUUGAGCGACGAGAUUGGGACUGAGACACGGGCCAAACUCCUGCGGGAGGCAGCAGUAGGGAAUCUUCCACAAUGGACGAAAGUCUGAUGGAGCAACGCCGCGUGAGUGAAGAAGGUUUUCGGAUCGUAAAACUCUGUUGUCAGAGAAGAACGUGUGCGAGAGUAACUGUUCGUGCAGUGACGGUAUCUGGCCAGAAAGCCACGGCUAACUACGUGCCAGCCGCCGCCGUAA
Molecule: ribosomal RNA, 524 nt
Filed under: uncultured bacterium
Lineage: Bacteria
Description: partial 16S ribosomal RNA
Rfam family: Bacterial small subunit ribosomal RNA
Source: RNAcentral